AGCGUGUUCGGAUUCACUGGGCGUAAGGGUGCGUAGGUGGUGAGGUAAGUCGGAUGUGAAAUCUCGGAGCUUAACUCCGAAAUGGCAUUGGAAACUACCUUGCUAGAGGGUUGGAGGGGGGACUGGAAUACUUGGUGUAGCAGUGAAAUGCGUAGAUAUCAAGUGGAACACCAGUGGCGAAGGCGAGUCCCUGGACAACUCCUGACACUGAGGCACGAAAGCUAGGGGAGCAAACAGGAUUAGAUACCCUGGUAGUCCUAGCCGUAAACGGUGCAUGUUUGCUGUAAAAGGAAUCGACCCCUUUUGUGGCGGAGCCAACGCGUUAAACAUGCCGCCUGGGAAGUACGGUCGCAAGAUUAAAACUCAAAGAAAUUGACGGGGGCCUGCACAAGCGGUGGAGUAUGUGGCUCAAUUCGAUGCAACGCGAAGAACCUUACCUGGCCUUGACAU
RNAcentral lists this ribosomal RNA (450 nucleotides) under uncultured type I methanotroph. RNAcentral describes it as "bacterial SSU rRNA". It matches the Rfam family "Bacterial small subunit ribosomal RNA", at positions 537 to 987 of the family's 1533-position model. The record is from RNAcentral. Lineage: Bacteria; Pseudomonadati; Pseudomonadota; Gammaproteobacteria; Methylococcales; Methylococcaceae.